Long non-coding RNA from Pecten maximus, 766 nucleotides. RefSeq lists it as uncharacterized. The record is from RefSeq and is a predicted model, not a curated record. NCBI's taxonomy places the organism in Eukaryota, Metazoa, Mollusca, Bivalvia, Pectinida, Pectinidae. The transcript has 4 exons.
AGCAUUUGUUUUAGUGUUAUUGACAAUUAUGUUUAAAUGUCCUUAUAUGAAUGUAUCAUUAACGAGAUGAAAGCACUUACUACAGACGAGAUUUUGAUGUCUGCUUUUUCUUCAUUUUAAACUUUUUAACUCUAACCAAUUGUUAGUAUACCAUUGAUAUGAAGAUUGGUGAUAUAUUUUUCACUUCUUUUUCAAUUUUUUGUUUCUUUUGAAGAAAAGUCGUUUAUAGGGUAUUGAUAUAUCGACAUUCACGCAAACUACAUUGAAAGUUUUUUCAUCGGGAAUUUUUGUUUCAACAGCCUGGAUUUGUACUAUUUGAAGAAUUCCUCCGGCAUUUCUCAAUGGCGGUCUCCCAGCUAGAAGGUGCGAAGGAUUCCGAGAUUAUUUCGUUUGGAUUUUACUAUUCGGGUUGACAAAACAGAGCCACUUACAGACAACAUUGACAAAUUUGAUAGUCCCUGGUUCAAGGACUUGUUCCAAUUCUCACGAUUUCCGUGACGGAUAGCAUCUACUGAAGGAUCAAGAAACAACACAAGAUUUCGAAAGAUGCAGGUCGUCAAGGAGCAUUGGAAUGACUGCAACAUGAUUACAGUAAAUCACCCCAUAGUAAAGGACCUACAGAGAUUUACUAUAUACAAUAGUAAUAAGCUGAAACAGAACAACAAAUACAUUAUCCCUGUCAGAGAACAUGAGAAUGAGAAGGCCUUGGCAAAUUUCCAGGAAUUUCAUAAAUAUUGUUUUCAUUAAUAAAAUAAACAAAACUCGA